This 203-nucleotide non-coding RNA is filed under the name Priestia endophytica. RNAcentral describes it as "Bacillus endophyticus T-box sequence". It matches the Rfam family "T-box leader". Rfam says of the family: Uncharged tRNA acts as the effector for transcription antitermination of genes in the T-box leader family. T-boxes are found upstream of many aminoacyl-tRNA synthetase genes and some amino acid biosynthetic genes usually in Gram-positive bacteria. Lineage: Bacteria; Bacillati; Bacillota; Bacilli; Caryophanales; Bacillaceae. The record is from RNAcentral.
UAUCAGGCAAUGAGAAAGAAUAGUACAUAUGGAAUGUGACUUUUUCAGAGAGUUUGUGGUUGGUGUGAACAAACAGUUACUCAUAUGGAAUGGACUUUUGAGCUUCUAAGUGCAAAGCUUAGACGUAUUAUUCAACGUUACUGAAUACGAGCUGGCUUUUUAAAAGCAAGUAGGGUGGUACCGCGAACCGAUUCGUCCCUAGU